GGUCAAGUGAAGAAGCGCAUACGGUGGAUGCCUUGGCAGUCAGAGGCGAUGAAAGACGUGGUAGCCUGCGAAAAGCUUCGGGGAGUCGGCAAACAGACUUUGAUCCGGAGAUCUCUGAAUGGGGGAACCCACCUAGGAUAACCUAGGUAUCUUGUACUGAAUCCAUAGGUGCAAGAGGCGAACCAGGGGAACUGAAACAUCUAAGUACCCUGAGGAAAAGAAAUCAACCGAGAUUCCCUUAGUAGUGGCGAGCGAACGGGGAUUAGCCCUUAAGCUUCAUUGAUUUUAGCGGAACGCUCUGGAAAGUGCGGCCAUAGUGGGUGAUAGCCCCGUACGCGAAAGGAUCUUUGAAGUGAAAUCGAGUAGGACGGAGCACGAGAAACUUUGUCUGAACAUGGGGACCAUCCUCCAAGGCUAAAUACUACUGACUGACCGAUAGUGAACCAGUACCGUGAGGGAAAGGCGAAAAGAACCCCGGAGAGGGGAGUGAAAUAGAACCUGAAACCGUAUGCGUACAAGCAGUGGGAGCCUACUUGUUAGGUGACUGCGUACCUUUGUAUAAUGGGUCAGCGACUUAUAUUCAGUGGCAAGCUUAACCGUAUAGGGUAGGCGUAGCGAAAGCGAGUCUUAAUAGGGCGUUUAGUCGCUGGGUAUAGACCCGAAACCGGGCGAUCUAUCCAUGAGCAGGUUGAAGGUUAGGUAACACUGACUGGAGGACCGAACCCACUCCCGUUGAAAAGGUAGGGGAUGACUUGUGGAUCGGAGUGAAAGGCUAAUCAAGCUCGGAGAUAGCUGGUUCUCCUCGAAAGCUAUUUAGGUAGCGCCUCAUGUAUCACUCUGGGGGGUAGAGCACUGUUUCGGCUAGGGGGUCAUCCCGACUUACCAAACCGAUGCAAACUCCGAAUACCCAGAAGUGCCGAGCAUGGGAGACACACGGCGGGUGCUAACGUCCGUCGUGAAAAGGGAAACAACCCAGACCGCCAGCUAAGGUCCCAAAGUUGUGGUUAAGUGGUAAACGAUGUGGGAAGGCUUAGACAGCUAGGAGGUUGGCUUAGAAGCAGCCAUCCUUUAAAGAAAGCGUAAUAGCUCACUAGUCGAGUCGGCCUGCGCGGAAGAUGUAACGGGGCUCAAACCACACACCGAAGCUGCGGGUGUCACGUAAGUGACGCGGUAGAGGAGCGUUCUGUAAGCCUGUGAAGGUGAGUUGAGAAGCUUGCUGGAGGUAUCAGAAGUGCGAAUGCUGACAUGAGUAACGACAAUGGGUGUGAAAAACACCCACGCCGAAAGACCAAGGGUUCCUGCGCAACGUUAAUCGACGCAGGGUUAGUCGGUUCCUAAGGCGAGGCUGAAAAGCGUAGUCGAUGGGAAACAGGUUAAUAUUCCUGUACUUCUGGUUACUGCGAUGGAGGGACGGAGAAGGCUAGGCCAGCUUGGCGUUGGUUGUCCAAGUUUAAGGUGGUAGGCUGAAAUCUUAGGUAAAUCCGGGGUUUCAAGGCCGAGAGCUGAUGACGAGUCGUCUUUUAGAUGACGAAGUGGUUGAUGCCAUGCUUCCAAGAAAAGCUUCUAAGCUUCAGGUAACCAGGAACCGUACCCCAAACCGACACAGGUGGUCGGGUAGAGAAUACCAAGGCGCUUGAGAGAACUCGGGUGAAGGAACUAGGCAAAAUGGCACCGUAACUUCGGGAGAAGGUGCGCCGGCUAGGGUGAAGGAUUUACUCCGUAAGCUCUGGCUGGUCGAAGAUACCAGGCCGCUGCGACUGUUUAUUAAAAACACAGCACUCUGCAAACACGAAAGUGGACGUAUAGGGUGUGACGCCUGCCCGGUGCCGGAAGGUUAAUUGAUGGGGUUAGCGCAAGCGAAGCUCUUGAUCGAAGCCCCGGUAAACGGCGGCCGUAACUAUAACGGUCCUAAGGUAGCGAAAUUCCUUGUCGGGUAAGUUCCGACCUGCACGAAUGGCGUAACGAUGGCGGCGCUGUCUCCACCCGAGACUCAGUGAAAUUGAAAUCGCUGUGAAGAUGCAGUGUAUCCGCGGCUAGACGGAAAGACCCCGUGAACCUUUACUGUAGCUUUGCACUGGACUUUGAGCCUGCUUGUGUAGGAUAGGUGGGAGGCUUUGAAGCGUGGACGCCAGUUCGCGUGGAGCCAUCCUUGAAAUACCACCCUGGCAUGCUUGAGGUUCUAACUCUGGUCCGUGAUCCGGAUCGAGGACAGUGUAUGGUGGGCAGUUUGACUGGGGCGGUCUCCUCCUAAAGAGUAACGGAGGAGUACGAAGGUGCGCUCAGACCGGUCGGAAAUCGGUCGUAGAGUAUAAAGGCAAAAGCGCGCUUGACUGCGAGACAGACACGUCGAGCAGGUACGAAAGUAGGUCUUAGUGAUCCGGUGGUUCUGUAUGGAAGGGCCAUCGCUCAACGGAUAAAAGGUACUCCGGGGAUAACAGGCUGAUACCGCCCAAGAGUUCAUAUCGACGGCGGUGUUUGGCACCUCGAUGUCGGCUCAUCACAUCCUGGGGCUGAAGCCGGUCCCAAGGGUAUGGCUGUUCGCCAUUUAAAGUGGUACGCGAGCUGGGUUUAGAACGUCGUGAGACAGUUCGGUCCCUAUCUGCCGUGGACGUUUGAGAUUUGAGAGGGCUGCUCCUAGUACGAGAGGACCGGAGUGGACGAACCUCUGGUGUUCCGGUUGUCACGCCAGUGGCAUUGCCGGGUAGCUAUGUUCGGAAAAGAUAACCGCUGAAAGCAUCUAAGCGGGAAACUUGCCUCAAGAUGAGAUCUCACUGGGAACUUGAUUCCCCUGAAGGGCCGUCGAAGACUACGACGUUGAUAGGCUGGGUGUGUAAGCGUUGUGAGGCGUUGAGCUAACCAGUACUAAUUGCCCGUGAGGCUUGACCAU
This 2887-nucleotide ribosomal RNA is filed under the name Pseudomonas aeruginosa. Its description in RNAcentral is "23S ribosomal RNA". It matches the Rfam family "Bacterial large subunit ribosomal RNA". Lineage: Bacteria; Pseudomonadati; Pseudomonadota; Gammaproteobacteria; Pseudomonadales; Pseudomonadaceae. The record is from RNAcentral.